ACAAAAACAUCUUUUCUUGUUAGUUUUUGAAGUAUGGCCUGCCCACUGACAUUAUUGGUUGAAGGGCCGCGGUAUUUUGACCGUGCAAAGGUAGCAUAAUCAUUAGUUCUUUAAUUGUGAUCUGGUAUGAAUGGCUUGACGAGACAUGGACUGUCUUAAAAGUAUUACUUUAUUGAAUUUAGUCUUUGAGUUAAAAUUCUUAGAUGUUUUUAUGGGACGAGAAGACCCUAUAGAGUUUAACAUUUCCUCUUCUUUUGUGUUGGUGUUUGAUUUAUUUGUUUUAAGUUGAUUGAGUGUUUUGUUGGGGUGAUGGGAGGAAUAAAAUUUAACUCCUCUUUGGUUUGGUAUAUUUAUUUAUAUUUAUUUUGAUCCAUUUAUUUUGAUUAUAAGAUUAAAUUACCUUAGGGAUAACAGCGUUAUCUUCCUUGAGAGUUCUUAUUGGCGGGGAGGUUUGCGACCUCGAUGUUGGAUUAAGGUGAAUUUCGGUGCAGGAGCUGAAAGUGAU
Molecule: ribosomal RNA, 505 nt
Filed under: Microcerotermes sp. 1 RCD-2018
Lineage: Eukaryota; Metazoa; Arthropoda; Insecta; Blattodea; Termitidae
Description: partial 16S ribosomal RNA
Rfam family: Bacterial large subunit ribosomal RNA
Source: RNAcentral